This 242-nucleotide unclassified non-coding RNA is filed under the name Cryptosporiopsis sp. RNAcentral's name for it is "partial contains small subunit ribosomal RNA, internal transcribed spacer 1, and 5.8S ribosomal RNA". The stretch from base 1 to 46 matches the Rfam family "Eukaryotic small subunit ribosomal RNA", at positions 1786 to 1831 of the family's 1831-position model. The record is from RNAcentral. Lineage: Eukaryota; Fungi; Ascomycota; Leotiomycetes; Helotiales; Dermateaceae.
AAGUCGUAACAAGGUCUCCGUAGGUGAACCUGCGGAGGGAUCAUUACAGAGACUCUGCCCUUUGGGUAGACCUCCCACCCUGUGUCGUUAUACCUUCGUUGCUUUGGCGGGCCGCGGGGCCCCGGCCCCGCCCCUGGCUCCGGCUAGGGCGCGCCCGCCAGAGGACCUCAAAACCUGAAUGUUAGUGUCGUCUGAGUACUAUAUAAUAGUUAAAACUUUCAACAACGGAUCUCUUGGUUCUG